RNAcentral lists this ribosomal RNA (463 nucleotides) under uncultured bacterium. RNAcentral describes it as "partial 16S ribosomal RNA". It matches the Rfam family "Bacterial small subunit ribosomal RNA", at positions 28 to 507 of the family's 1533-position model. The record is from RNAcentral.
GAUGAACGCUGACAGGAUGCUUAACACAUGCAAGUCUUUGGCGAAUCUGUGCUUGCACAGGCUAGCCAAGGCGGACGGGUGAGUAACGCGUAAAGAACUUGCCCUGCAGACAGGGAUAACAGACGGAAACGACUGAUAACACCUGAUACAGUUGCCGGCACGCAUGUGCCUGGCAAUGAAAAGAGAUGCUGCAGGAGAGCUUUGCGUCCUAUUAGCUUGUUGGUGAGGUGACGGCUCACCAAGGCGAUGAUAGGUAGCCGGCCUGAGAGGGUGAACGGCCACAAGGGGACUGAGAUACGGCCCUUACUCCUACGGGAGGCAGCAGUGGGGAAUAUUGGACAAUGGGGGCAACCCUGAUCCAGCAAUUCUGUGUGCACGAAGAAGGUUUUCGGAUUGUAAAGUGCUUUCAGCAGGGAAGAAGAAAGUGACGGUACCUGCAGAAGAAGCGACGGCUAAAUACGUG